GUGGGUAACCUACCUAUAAGACUGGGAUAACUUCGGGAAACCGGAGCUAAUACCGGAUAAUAUUUCGAACCGCAUGGUUCGAUAGUGAAAGAUGGCUUUGCUAUCACUUAUAGAUGGACCUGCGCCGUAUUAGCUAGUUGGUAAGGUAACGGCUUACCAAGGCAACGAUACGUAGCCGACCUGAGAGGGUGAUCGGCCACACUGGAACUGAGACACGGUCCAGACUCCUACGGGAGGCAGCAGUAGGGAAUCUUCCGCAAUGGGCGAAAGCCUGACGGAGCAACGCCGCGUGAGUGAUGAAGGUCUUCGGAUCGUAAAACUCUGUUAUUAGGGAAGAACAAACGUGUAAGUAACUGUGCACGUCUUGACGGUACCUAAUCAGAAAGCCACGGCUAACUACGUGCCAGCAGCCGCGGUAAUACGUAGGUGGCAAGCGUUAUC
RNAcentral lists this ribosomal RNA (441 nucleotides) under Staphylococcus sp. F24. RNAcentral describes it as "bacterial SSU rRNA". It matches the Rfam family "Bacterial small subunit ribosomal RNA", at positions 117 to 545 of the family's 1533-position model. The record is from RNAcentral. Lineage: Bacteria; Bacillati; Bacillota; Bacilli; Caryophanales; Staphylococcaceae. RNAcentral also lists the same sequence under 1 other name.